Molecule: ribosomal RNA, 372 nt
Filed under: uncultured bacterium
Lineage: Bacteria
Description: partial 16S ribosomal RNA
Rfam family: Bacterial small subunit ribosomal RNA
Source: RNAcentral
CCUACGGGUGGCAGCAGUGGGGAAUAUUGGUCAAUGGGCGCGACUCUGAACCAGCCACGUCGCGUGAAUGAUGACUGUCUUCGGAUUGUCAAGUUCUUUUCUUAGGGGAGUAAAGUGUGACUGUGCUUUCUGAAUGAGUCUCGUCUAACUACGUGCCAGCAGCCGCUGUAAUACGGAGGAGGCAAUCGUUCUCCGGAAGGACUGUGCGUAAAGGGAGCGUAGGUGGUGUGACAAGUUAGUAGUGCAACUUCGGAGCUCAAAUGCGAAACUACUACUCACACGGGUGGACUUGAGGACAGGAGGGGCAGGCGGAAUUCGUAGUGUAGCGGUGGAAUGCGUAGAUAUUAGGAAGAACACCAGUGGCGAAGGCGG